RNAcentral lists this ribosomal RNA (468 nucleotides) under uncultured bacterium. RNAcentral's name for it is "partial 16S ribosomal RNA". It matches the Rfam family "Bacterial small subunit ribosomal RNA", at positions 28 to 507 of the family's 1533-position model. The record is from RNAcentral.
GACGAACGCUGGCGGCGUGCUUAACACAUGCAAGUCGAACGGAAAGGCCCUGCUUUUGUGGGGUGCUCGAGUGGCGAACGGGUGAGUAACACGUGAGUAACCUGCCCUUGACUUUGGGAUAACUUCAGGAAACUGGGGCUAAUACCGGAUAGGAGCUCCUGCUGCAUGGUGGGGGUUGGAAAGUUUCGGCGGUUGGGGAUGGACUCGCGGCUUAUCAGCUUGUUGGUGGGGUAGUGGCUUACCAAGGCUUUGACGGGUAGCCGGCCUGAGAGGGUGACCGGCCACAUGGGGACUGAGAUACGGCCCAGACUCCUACGGGAGGCAGCAGUGGGGAAUAUUGCGCAAUGGGCGGAAGCCUGAUGCAACAACGCCGCGUGCGGGAUGACGGCCUUCGGGUUGUAAACCGCUUUCGCCGGUGACGAAGCGUGAGUGACGGUAAUGGGUAAAGAAGCACCGGCUAACUACGUG